CCCCCCCCCCCCCCCCCCCACACACACACACACACACACUUGAGGCUGUGCCACAGAUAGCACAAAUUAUAUCACCACAACGCUAAAUCCUACUCCAGUCGUCACCUGGUUCCACAGUGUGUGAAACAUCUGUACUUCUGCCAUAUUGCAGACAUUAGCAGUGUCCCCGCUGCAUGUUUAAGCACUGUUUGAGUGAGGUGCUGCAGUAGGAAAUAAGGUGAAUCUCAGAAGUUGAGCAAGCUAUACUGUCUGAAUUUCAAUGAGCUUCUAUCCGUGAGGUCUAUAGGUGAUGAGUAGCCGACUGUUAUCUCCUGUCCAAUUUGCUUCCUGCUGGGAAUCUGAUAAAAAUCCUCGACUGCAGCAAAUUUCCCCAAAAUAAUAUCUGUGAGCUGUAGCCAGCGGGCAAGUUCCACAUCCACACGCCAGCCCCUCUAGACUCAGCCAUGUACUGUAAGCAGUUCAAUAAUCACCAGCUGCAAAAAAAAAUAAAUAAAUAAAUUAUGCCAUUUAGUGGCAUAUGCAAAUGAAGGCAAAUCGAACCCCAGAUUCUCAUGGGGCACAGAGAGGUAUUAUGGAAAUGAGCACAAGCAGCUUUGCUUUUCAUGUAACUGUUUUAGGGGAACCAGCGUUCUUGGAAGCAGCGCUCCGCCAUUAGCGUUCGCAGUCAAGUGUCGGUUGCUAUUUUUCAUGCCGUCCGGUGGCGCGUGGAUUAAUAAUUGAUGAGUGGUGUUGCUUUGAAGAGUGGGCCACGCAUGUUGCCGCCCAGCACCCUUAAGUUAAUGAAGACGUUUGUUGUGUCUGGGAACAGGAAACGCUGACCUUCCUCGACCUUUUGAAAAACACCUAGAUUGAUCUUUACUCCUCACGCACGCACGUACACACAUACGCAGGCACGCACGCACAUACAUGCACGCGUGUCUCUAGAAACUGGCUCUGCAUCGCCGGCAGAUACUUUGGAGUGCAACUGUGCGGCUCACGCACAGAUUCCUGCUCACAGUUUUGCAGAAACAUGCUCCAGCUUCACAUCUGGCAUGCCUUUGUGUUUCAAUCUGAAAUUCAUUUUAGCCAUCCGCAGCCCAUAAUUCAAAUUGUUGCUGGGUGAGCGCGGUUACAUGGCCUGACAUCAGAAAAGGGAAGCGGCGUGUAAAACUCUGCGUGUGUGAGAGUGUGUGUUCUGGAGCUCUGGCUGGCGUUAAUGCUCUGAAUGCCUCCAGACACGCUCACACGCUUACAUGCAGCCCAGCCGCUCAGCUGCCUCUGUCUGUGGGCUGAAGACGUGUCGUCACACCUUUUCCUUUAACACUUCCCGCCUGAAAAUCUGUCUCUCUCUCUUUCCCUCUCUCUCUCUCUCUGAGGCGUUGGUUCUAAAACAGCUCUGCCAAUCUCUGAGAUACGAAGGGGAAGGCAGUUGUGUGAAAUACAUUGCACGUUUAACAGGAUUUUCAUCCUCCGAUGCUGAAAGCUUUGCUAUUCUGAUAAUCACACCUUAGGUUUUGGCUCGAGAUGUUGAUUGUACGCUUUAUUUUCAGCCUUUGUAGUUACAACCGUUGGAUCUGUAUUUGUUACAGGUUGGCUUUGAAAACGGACCGUCUCACUUCACACACACAAUUCCCCAAAGCGAGGCUUCCUUACCUCUUUGUCCCAGGAGGACCACACAGGUGCAGGCUGCUUACACUGUAAUGUUUCCACAGAGACUGCUACGUUUACGGCCUGGACCAACCGUCUCACAGCGAACUCUCUCUACACGCCUCAUCCUCCCCCAAUGAGGAUUUAUGAUGCUGAAUAUGAGCUGUGCCGCGGACGCCCGCCUCCCGUUGGACUUAAUGAACGAGCUUCCUCCUCGCAUGAAGACAGAUCUGAGCCGACAGCGCUGUUGCUUCUCUGAGCGAGCCGGACCACGCAGCAUCUGCCGCGUGCGCUUGAGGGACAGAUACAGGGGAAACGAGGAGAUAGGAGCGAUGAGGAGGGAAAAGGGGGAAAUAGCAAAUCGGCACGAUACACGUGAAAUGUGGAAUUACAUAGUGGGUGAACUUUAUGCAGACAGUUACAGGGACUUAGGGUCAACUGAGGUCAGCGUGUUUUUAGAGUGUGAGUAGAGGAUGGUAAAUGUUAAGAAUGUACUGACUUUUCCUGGAUACCUUUACUCUUGAAGAUUCUGGAGUUAUUUCAAAAGAUGUGUGUAAUCAAGGCCAGCCUUGAUUAUUGAGUGGCCAUCUACAGUAGAUAUGAUGCUGAGCUUAGGCACUAACUGCUCUCUCGCGUGUGCUCUCACACAGAAAAUGAGGCAUCCAAGUGUUCUUACACUAAUUUGUUUUUUAAACGAGGUGACUGCCAACGCUCGCGCUGAAAAGACUGGUGAUCUUAAUUAAAAGACGCUCAACUUUUUUCUUUCUGUCUUAGUGGUUUGUGGAAAACUUUUCAUGUAAUGUGCUUUCAUAGCAUAUUUUCUGCUUCAGACGAUAUGAAGUUUUGGGCAAACAGUCGUUAAAUUAGUUGCUACCACCUGUUUGGAUUCACGAGAAUCAAACCCAAUCUGUACCACACAAACCUGAGCUCACCACCCACCCAGAAUCAUGAUGGAACCCACACAUAUUUGGCUGAACAGGUAACAUCUUUGAGCAUUUACAAAGCUUGAAAACAGAUCAUUUACCUUGAGUCAGAUGCAUCUACACAUUCUCAGCUAUUAAUGGGAUAAACCAGUUUAACCUGCAUAUAUUGAUUAAGAAUAUAGAUAUAAUAAUAAUAAUAGAAAAAAGUUAAUAUUGGAUGAUAUCUUUGGACUUUAUUUGCAUUUUAAUGUUCAAACUGCAAUAUUUUAAUUAUUCUUUCUCAAUUGACAGACAGACUGAAACUGAGCAACUAUAAAGGAGUUAAGUGAUGAAUGGAAUGUGCACCAGUGUGAACAUUAAAAUAGAUUUGCUUCUCAUUUCUUCGGUUUUAUGUUGGACCACCUUUUUUUGUCCUUGUACCACCUCACUUCCUAAAAAGUUAGGACAUUGUGUAAAACAAGGUCUUUUGUGAUUUUAACUUUAAUCUGAACUGGUACAAAGUGGUACGUCCAAAUGAGCUCAUUGCUACUGACUAUAUUGCAGCAUAAUAACUGUCCCGUAUAACCACAAUUUGCAUUAAUAAAGAUUUUAUGUGAAUUGAAUAGGUAUAAAAUGUGCAUGUAAUGAGCUGUGUGGCCAGUCACCUGUGCUAAGAUAAGUUAAGAUAAACUAAGCUAAGUUAAACUAAACUCAGCUAAGCACCUCAGGCCAUACAUUUAUUCAGUAAGUCUUAGGAUGGCAUAUAAGCAUAUUCCUCAAAAUGUGUCUGUGCUCCUUUUGUGUCUCCCUUUAAGGAAGCCUGGGGGGCUAACACACUAUAAAUCCAAAUUGUCCUGAGUAAUAAAGAAAGGCAUGUAAUGAAUGGAA
Long non-coding RNA from Betta splendens (Siamese fighting fish), 3416 nucleotides. RefSeq lists it as uncharacterized. The transcript is spliced from 2 exons. NCBI's taxonomy places the organism in Eukaryota, Metazoa, Chordata, Actinopteri, Anabantiformes, Osphronemidae. The record is from RefSeq and is a predicted model, not a curated record.